CAAUAGCGUAUAUUAAAACUGUUGCGGUUAAAACGCUCGUAGUUGGAUAUUUGUUGGAGAGCGCUGGUCCACCCCAGCGGUGCGUACUUGGUGCUUCUUUGACAUCUUACUGGAGAAAGUACGUGCGCUUCACUGCGUGCGUGCAUGAACCAGAACUUUUACUUUGAGGAAAUGAGAGUGUUUCAAGCAGGCCAUUGCCAUGAAUACGUUAGCAUGGAAUAAUAACAUAGGACCUUGAGUCGUUGUUGUUGGUUGACGACACAAGGUAAUAAAAAUAAGGGAGUAUUGGGGGUCGAUUCGUAUUACAAUAGUCAGAGGUGGAAAUUACUUUGG
This 333-nucleotide ribosomal RNA is filed under the name uncultured eukaryote. RNAcentral's name for it is "bacterial SSU rRNA". It matches the Rfam family "Eukaryotic small subunit ribosomal RNA", at positions 592 to 924 of the family's 1831-position model. The record is from RNAcentral.